RNAcentral lists this ribosomal RNA (406 nucleotides) under uncultured bacterium. RNAcentral describes it as "partial 16S ribosomal RNA". It matches the Rfam family "Bacterial small subunit ribosomal RNA", at positions 29 to 526 of the family's 1533-position model. The record is from RNAcentral.
AUUGAACGCUGGCGGCAGGCCUAACACAUGCAAGUCGAGCGAGCGGCGGACGGGUGAUUAAUGUCAGGGUACCUGCCUGCUGGAGGGGGAUAACUACUGGAAACGGUAACUAAUACCACACACCCUCGGGUGUGUCCAGAUGGGAUUAGCUAGUGGGGGGGGUAACGGCUCACCUAGGCGACGAUCCCUAGCUGGUGUGAGAGGAUGACCAGCCACACUGGAACUGAGACACGGCCCAGACUCCUACGGGAGGCAGCAGGGGGGAAUAUUGGACAAUGGGCGCAAGCCUGAUGCAGCCAUGCCGCGUGUGUGAAGAAGGCCUUCGGGUUGUAAAGCACGUUCAGCGGGGAGGCGUUACCCGCAGAAGAAGCACCGGCUAACUCCGUGCCAGCCGCCGCGGUAAUUC